This 809-nucleotide long non-coding RNA is filed under the name Homo sapiens (human). Its description in RNAcentral is "novel transcript". Lineage: Eukaryota; Metazoa; Chordata; Mammalia; Primates; Hominidae. The record is from RNAcentral.
AGUAACACUCUGGGAGGGCUCAGGCCACAUCACGAAAUGUGACAGGAUAGCCUUGAACUCAUCAAUUGCUGGGGGCACCUCAAACUCAACUCCAAAAUUGAUCUAAUGAACUUUCCCAAACCACAUUCCCUUCUUGCAUUUCUGAGAGAAUGGAUUCCCAUUCAUCUGACUACAGUGCUACCCUGAAAGCAGAUCCAGAGACUAAGAUUCACCUGCAGGUGAUUCAUUUGCAAGGUAAGCUGUCAUCAGUUGGAGGUAAGCGGAAGACAGUAGAGAGUACAGAGCCCUGGACUGUGACUCAGAGGAUGAGCACCAGAUCCAGUUUGCUGUGCCACAGUGUCCUGAAGAUUUUCCUCAGAUAAUCUUUCAUCUCUUUGUUCCUGAGACUAUAUAUUAGAGGAUUACAGAGUGGUGUUAUCACAGAAAAGAACAAGUGGAUUUUUAUCUGAGAUCUACAACUUAUGAAGAAUACAAAUGAUGUAUAUUCUUUUCUACUCUUCAUGUAUGGACUAGAGGGGCUUGCACAGUAGUAAGAAAAAAAUGGCUGAGACCCACAGGAACAAAGAAACAGGACAGGAGUUAGAUGCAGAGAAGAGAUUUCAACAAAAGUUUGGAAAAGAUGCUAACGGUAGCAUAUGAGUCACAGACAGAACAUUGGCACCUUUGUUUAAGAAACUGAAUGUUAAUGUCACAUCUGCCUUUGGAGAUUACAAAUGAAAUGGCUACCUUUCUACUGGAACCCUGACCAGAAGUCUGCCAGUUAGUAAGCUGGCUUAAGAGAUCAAUCUAAAAUUUACAUAAGGCUUUUG